Molecule: long non-coding RNA, 278 nt
Filed under: Phoenix dactylifera (date palm)
Lineage: Eukaryota; Viridiplantae; Streptophyta; Magnoliopsida; Arecales; Arecaceae
Description: long non-coding RNA (PDAC_LNC011531)
Source: RNAcentral
UUAAUGGUUUGCUUGGUGAAUUGAUAACCUUUUUCUUUAGGGAUUCAUUGCUAAGUGAAGGAGUUAAGCCAAAUUUUGAUUUAUCAAAAUCAGCAUGUUGGCUUUCAAACAUCAUUUUUAAUCUUUCUGAACUUACAGUAAAUUUGUUAAUAAAAGACUUCAAUUGGUUAAUUUCUUUACUUAAGUUUUGAUUUUCUUUAAUUAAAUUCUGAUUUUUCUGAAUUAAUUGUUCUGAAUUUAACCUUAAAAUUUCAUUUUCAGAAUUUAGUUUAUCUUGU